RNAcentral lists this long non-coding RNA (3887 nucleotides) under Homo sapiens (human). RNAcentral describes it as "HSALNT0264639". The record is from RNAcentral. Lineage: Eukaryota; Metazoa; Chordata; Mammalia; Primates; Hominidae.
AGCUGCCUAUUAUAUUGGCAUAUUUAAAUCAUCUUUAAGUUUCUUCCUAAACCAUGGUUUGAGACCACAGGAUUAAGAACAGAAACUCCCAGGUGUAUAGUAGAGAGCACUGUGCUUGGAGUAAAAAGAUCAGCCUUCAAGUCCUGGUGUUAUCAUAGGCAAUUUAAUUAAAUUACUCACAGAAGCAUCAGUUUCUUCCUUUAUUCAUCAAUUAUUUAUUGAGCAUCUAUAAUUUUCUGAGCAGUAUUCUUGGGAUAGAUGAGAGAACAAAAAAGAAUACAGGGAUUACACUCCACUGUUGGCCUUGUUUAAUAUAACUUUCUUCCUUCCAGAAUUGUUGUAUAGGUCAAAUGAGACAUCAAAAAUAAAACCACUUUAUAGAGAGCUUUGGGGCAAUUUAUACACUAACUCCUGGCAGCCAUGAGUUGAGGGCUGCUCCAGGGAAUGUCACUUCUGUCCUGCCACAGGCAGAGCAGUCUUCUGCAUUUUGGAGCGAACCCUGAGGUAGGCACAGAUGCAGAUAGUGGUGGUUGCAAAUUAGCUGAUCCACACUGGAAACAGUAGGGACCAGGGGAUAUGGAAGGGAACUGUCAGUGAAUGAUGCAGACAUGAAAAGAUAAACCCAUUUUUGUCAUUACUCUGCUGGUUAGGUGGUGCCUGCCUGUCCCCUUCCCCAACCCCUGUACCCUAAUACACACCAGCCACCUGCAGGAUGGCUUGCAAUGCAUUAGUAACUCUUCUCAUGAAUCAGCUGGACCUGAAAUACUCUAGACUUGAGUUUCUCACACUGGAGUUUGUGGCUCCUGUGGGUCUAUGGAUGUAGCCUCCAAAACCAUGAAUUCAAUGACAAUACUACAAUUUUUAAAAUUUUCAUUUUGAUGACAAACUAAAAUAAAUUAAUACAGAUAUAUUCAGGGUGACCUUGUGACUAGUCAUAGUAGGCAAUUUCAUUUUCUGCAUUUGUAUUUGAGGUUGAAGUAAUGGUGAUGCCAAAUGAAGAUUUCAGGUAGCUGGAAAAGAAAAAAAUGGAAAAAUUGAGAGAUGACCAAUAAUGUAUAUUUAAGGGCUAGGUGCAAUGGCUCAAGCCUGUAAUCCCAGCACUUUGGGAGGCUGAGGCAGGUGGAUCACUUGAGGUCAGGAGUUCGAGACCAGCCUGGCCAACAUGGUGGAACCUCGUCUCUAUCAAAAAUACAAAAAUUAGCUGGGCGUGGUGGCACAUGCCUAUAAUUCCAGCUACUCAGGAGGCUGAGGCAGAAGAAUCACUUGAACCCAGGAGGUGGAGGUUGCAGUGAGCCAAGAUUGCAUCAUUGCACUCCAGCCCAUACAACAGAGCAAGACCCUGUCUCAAAAAUAAAUAAAUAAUGUAUGUUUAAAUGUAUGUUGAACAUUUUAAAAGCCUAGGUGGGCUUAUCUGUAUGUUCAUGUUCUGAGCAGAGAUGGUGCAUGGGUCACAUCUACGUAUAUAUCAAACUUGGUUGGCAAUAAAUGUAGUAGUCAACUCUCAGUAAUUUUUCAUGAAAUGGCUGUGUCGCAAUUUCCCAGGGUGUUUAUUAAGUGGAUUGGCUGAGAAUAAAUAAUGGAUAGGUAGUUUAAAACAAAUGUAUUGUCCAAAAGGAAGUGCAAUGCAAAUCAUAAUGUUGACAACUCAGAUGAUGGCUAUCAAGUUUAAAAUCAACAGGAUCAAGUCAACUAAUGAAAUAUUGUUUCCAAAUAAAUGCUUCUAUAAUAAAAGCAGUACUUCUGCUUCUGGAAAGAUGAAAUGCAGGUACUUUUCCCUAUUCUCUCCAUUAAGUGUAGCUAAAACACUGGGCAUUAUAUAUAAAACAAAUAUGAGUAGAGUUGGAAAGGUGGAGAAAAGAAGGUGGACUAACUAGCGACCCUGGGACCUGAGGAACAGUACGGUGGUGAGUUCUGUUUUUAUUCUGCCUCAUCUAUCCCAUCAAAUACUACUCAUACUGAGAACCAGGAGGAUUGCAAUAUGAAUGACAAAAGACAAUCAACAGAUGUCAACACAAAGAUAAGAGAAUUAUUUGACAAGGAUUUUAAAGCAGCCAUUAUAAAAAUUCUUCAACAAGCAAGUUUGAACAUGCUUGAAACAAAUGGAAUAUAUUAAAUCUCAGCAAAGAAAUAUAAGAUACAAAGAAAAAACACAUGGAAAUUAUAGAGUUGAAAACACAAUAACCCAAAUUAAAUUAUAUAAUAAUUUAAGGUAAACCAAUAAAAACAAAACAUAAUGUAACGUAAUUUAUUAUAUCAUUAUUAACAUGAACUUUAUUGGUCUGGAAUCUUAUAUUCACUUGGAAAUCUACUUAGAUGUAUAAUUGUACAACAGCUAUAUACAUAAAAAGCUUAUACCUUUCUAUGUUUGUACAUUUUGAAGUGGCAUUAUUUUAAAAUAAUUUAUGUUAAUACUAAGGAAACUGAAAAUUUUUUCUUUUAUAAAGGUUUCUCAUUAAAACAAACAUUUUAAAAUGACAUUUAUAAUGUAUUAUGAGCUAAAUUAUGUUCCCCCAAAAUCCAUGUUGAUGUCCUAAGCCCCGGGGCCUCAGAAUGUGACUUUAUUUGAAGACACAGCCUUUACAAAAAAAGUAAUUAAGGUAAAAUGAGGUCAUUAGAGUGGACCCUAAUCCAUUACGACUGAUGUCCUUAUAAGAAGAGGAGAUUAGGACAGAAUUCACCAGUGUAACCAUCUAGUACUAGGCUUUCUUCCUGGGAGAUUUUUUGAUUACUACUUUAAUAUCAGUACUUGUUAUAGGUCUAUUUAGAUUUUCUAUUUCUUUUUAAGUCCGUUUUGGUAGUUGCUGUUUUCUGUAAGAAUUUGUCAAUUUCAUCUAAGUUGUCUGAUUAGUUGGUAUACAGUUAUCCAUGCCAUUUCCUUUAUAUUCUUUUCAUUUCUGUAAGGUCAAGCAGUAUCAUCCCCUCUUCUAUUUCUGAUUUUAGGCAUUUGAGUCUUCUCUCUUUUUUCUUGGCCGUUCUAGCUAACAGUUUGUCAGUAUUAUUGAUCUUUUUGACAAACCAACUUUUGGAUUCAUUUUCUCUAUUGUUUUUCAAUUCGUUAUUUCAUUAAUUCCCUCUCUAAUCCUUAUUAUUUCCUCUUUCUACUUGCUUUGAGCUUCGUUUGCUCUUCUUUCUCCAUUGUCUUAAGGUAGAAUGUUUGGUUGUUGAUAUGGGAUCUUUCUUCUUUUUUAGCGUAGGCAUUUAAACUUCCCUGUGAGCACUGCUUUCACCGCAUCCCCUAAGUUUUGGUAUGUUGUGUCUUUGUUUUCAUUCAUCUCAAAAUAUUUUCUUAUUUUCCUCUGCUUUUAUCUUAGACCUGUUGGUUAUUUAGUAGUGCGCUGUUAAAUUUACACAUGUUCGUGAAUUUCCCAAAUCUUUCUGUUACUUUUAAUUUUAUUCUCUUGUGAUCAGAGGACGUAUAUUGUAUGAUUUCAAUCCUUUUAAAUUUAUUAAGGCUUGUUGUAUAGCCUGACAUACAGUCUAUUCUGGUGAAUGUUCCUUGUGCACUUGAGAAGAAUGUUUAUUCUGUUAUUGGGUACAGUGUUCUAUUGAUGUCUAUUAGGUCUGCUUUGUGUAUACUGUUGUUCAAGUCUUGUAUUUCCUUGUUGAUCUUAUGCCUCAUUAUUCUAUCCAAUAUUUAAAGUGGAAUAUUUAAGUAUCUGAAUAUUAAUGUUGAAUUGUCUGUUUUUCCCCUCGAUCAUGUCAGUCAUGUAUUUUGGGAUUCUGCUGUUAGGUGCAUAUAUGUUUAUAAUAUUUAUAAAUUCCUAAUGAAUUGAUCCUCUCAUCAUUACAUUGUAUGCCCUUUUUAUCUCUAGUAAUAUAUUUUGUUUUAAAAUCUAUUUUGUCUGAUAUUUGUUUAGCCAUUACAACUUCCAUGUGAUUACUGUUUG